CGGCGGACGGGUGAGUAACGCGUGGGUAACCUGCCCUAUACAGGGGGAUAACAGUUAGAAAUGAUUGCUAAUACCGCAUAAGCGCACGGAGCCGCAUGGCGCUGAGUGAAAAACGAUAGUGGUAUAGGAGGGACCCGCGUCUGAUUAGGUAGUUGGUGAGGUAACGGCCCACCAAGCCGACGAUCAGUAGCCGACCUGAGAGGGUGACCGGCCACAUUGGGACUGAGACACGGCCCAAACUCCUACGGGAGGCAGCAG
This 258-nucleotide ribosomal RNA is filed under the name uncultured bacterium. RNAcentral describes it as "partial 16S ribosomal RNA". It matches the Rfam family "Bacterial small subunit ribosomal RNA", at positions 96 to 354 of the family's 1533-position model. The record is from RNAcentral.